ACAGAGGUCCCAAGCGUUGUUCGGAAUCACUGGGCGUAAAGGGUGCGUAGGCGGUAUAGUAAGACUUGGGUGAAAUCUCCAUGCUUAACGUGGAGGGAGCCUGGGAGACUGCUGUGCUAGAGGAUUGGAAGGGAGACUGGAAUUCUUGGAGUAGCAGUGAAAUGCGUAGAUAUCAAGAGGAACACCAGUGGCGAAGGCGAGUCUCUGGACAAGACCUGACGCUGAGGCACGAAGGCCAGGGGAUCAAACGG
This 251-nucleotide ribosomal RNA is filed under the name uncultured prokaryote. RNAcentral's name for it is "partial 16S rRNA". It matches the Rfam family "Bacterial small subunit ribosomal RNA", at positions 525 to 775 of the family's 1533-position model. The record is from RNAcentral.